GUGGGGAAUAUUGGGCAAUGGGCGAAAGCCUGACCCAGCAACGCCGCGUGAAGGAAGAAGGAUCUAUGGUUCGUAAACUUCUUUUGCAGGGGAAUAAAGUGCAGGACGUGUCCUGUUUUGUAUGUACCCUGAGAAUAAGGAUCGGCUAACUCCGUGCCAGCAGCCGCGGUAAUACGGAGGAUACGAGCGUUAUCCGGAUUUAUUGGGUUUAAAGGGUGCGUAGGUGGUUUGAUAAGUCAGCGGUGAAAGUUUGCAGCUUAACUGUAAAAAUGCCGGUGAAACUGUCGGACUUGAGUGUAAAUGAGGUAGGCGGAAUGCGUGGUGUAGCGGUGAAAUGAAUAGAUAUCACGCAGAACUCCGAUUGCGAAGGCAGCUUACUAAGCUACAACUGACACUGAAGCACGAAAGCGUGGGCAUCAAACAGGAUUAGAUACCCGGGUAGUCC
Molecule: ribosomal RNA, 445 nt
Filed under: uncultured bacterium
Lineage: Bacteria
Description: partial 16S ribosomal RNA
Rfam family: Bacterial small subunit ribosomal RNA
Source: RNAcentral